UUUUGCCUACGGGGCGCAGCAGUGGGGAAUAUUGCACAAUGGGGGAAACCCUGAUGCAGCGACGCCGCGUGAGUGAAGAAGUAUUUCGGUAUGUAAAGCUCUAUCAGCAGGGAAGAAGAAAGACGGUACCUGACUAAGAAGCCCCGGCUAACUACGUGCCAGCAGCCGCGGUAAUACGUAGGGGGCAAGCGUUAUCCGGAUUUACUGGGUGUAAAGGGAGCGUAGACGGCUGUGCAAGUCAGCGGUAAAAAUGCGGUGCUCAACGCCGUACAGCCGUUGAAACUGGCAGUCUUGAGUGGGCGAGG
RNAcentral lists this ribosomal RNA (305 nucleotides) under uncultured bacterium. RNAcentral's name for it is "bacterial SSU rRNA". It matches the Rfam family "Bacterial small subunit ribosomal RNA", at positions 333 to 655 of the family's 1533-position model. The record is from RNAcentral.